AAUCCACUCUAUCUCAAGAAUUUAACACGUGUCCAGGUGUGGUGUUAGACUUGGAACAACAGAGGACGACAGCCACAGGACAGACUUGACAUCUCGGUGGAAAAAGUGGAGUGCAUCAAAAUGCUUGGCAUCUUUGGUGGAGAAUAACAAGCAGGAGUAUGAGAUGUUUGAUUCAAAAAAACCAUACACCGAGCAGGGAGAGCUAGUCAACUGGAAAUGCUAAGCACAGUUUGCAUCUGAACAGACUCCCCCUCUCUGGACCUCGGGCAUCUGGCUCAAGGCUGCAGGGAGGUGCCUCUGUCCACACUGGAUUUAUAGUCCAGACUCUUCUCCUGAAGGCCGUACACUGCUGAUCCUGGAACUGCAGAAGAAACUGGUGAGCUCAGCCAAAAGACACUAACUCCGGGCAACAUGGUUUCUUCUUAGCAACUGCAGCAACAGGAGCACCCAAGUGGAAGAGGGUGGGGUGUAGGAGAGGAGGAGCCCCAAGGAAGAUACAAAUGUCAUGACCCACGCCAGUCUCAGCCAACUCUUUCCAAGCAGGCAGAAGAUAAUCAGGAAAACAAGGAUAUGGUAGUUGAGAAAGAAAUACCAGAAGACAGGAUGAUGGAUGUUGUGGGAAAGAAAAGUACUACUAUUGGUGAAAAAGGAUCCCUGCUGAUCACAGAGGAAGGUGAUGUGGAGUCUGCUCUUCUGAAGCCAAAAUAGAGGAUCUCUACAGCAGGAAGAUAAGAGAAUUUAAGCCAGGACUCAGGAACUGCAUAUCUGGGGUGCGCAGUACGGCAAAGAUACGUCAGUAUGCUGUAAUAUCCCAUCCUCCUGUGUGGACAAUCUGCUCAACGCAACUUCCGCUCAUCUGAUAAAGGCAAGUAAAGAAAAGGAAGCAGUCUGUUGAGAGGCUUUGAAAGGCUUAAAGCCUCAUGAGCUGAAGGACAGAGUACAGUCACUUGCUAUUGUAUCUACCUUCCCCUGACAUGUUUUCUGGUCCGUGUAACAACCACCUAAUUCUUGUCCUUAUUCUUUCUAAAUUUUGAGAUCACUGUGAUAUUUGCAAAGCCUUCACUGACAUCUGAAUGCAUGCCAUUAUUUCAGUCAUUAAUGGGCUGGAAUGCAAUUGAUGCAUAACAACAAAUGACAAUGCUACAUAUCAACAUAUCCCAAAACGGAGGCUACAACACAGCCUCACUCAAGAUUCAACAAGGACAAGCGCAAAGUCCUGCCCUUGGGAUGGAAUAAUUGCAUGCACGAACACAGAUUGGACAAUGAGUGGCUAAGCUUCAGUACUGCAGAAAAUGAUCUGGGAGUUGCAAUGGACCAAAAGCUCUAUAUAAACCAACAGUAUGCUCUUGUUGUAAAAAAAGGAAGCCAACAGCAUACUGGGUUGUAUUAAUAGGAGUGUCAUUUGGAAAUCAGGGAACUGAUUUUUUCAUUCUAUCAAUAUUGGUGAGGCUUCACCUGGAGUAGAGAGUCCAGAUUUGGGACCCAUUCUUCAAGAAGGAUGUGCACCAUUAGGAAAGAGGCCAGCACAUAGCAAUCACAAUUAUUAGGGCCUGGAAGCAAGACUUAGGAGGGAAGCUGAAAGCACUGGGUUAUUUAGCCUGGAUAGGAGAAGACUGAGGGAGGAUUUGAUAACAGUCUUCAAAUACCUGAAGGGCAAUUAUAGAAAGGAUGGAGAUGGGCUUUUCCCCAUGGCCAUAGGAGACGGGACUAAGAGCAAUGGCCUCAAGCUGCGCAAGAGGAAAUUUAGGUUGGAGAUUAUGACUGUAAGAGUGGUCAAGUAUUGAAUCAGGUAACGUAGAGAAGUUGUGGACUCUCCAUCCUUGAAAAUAUUCAAGAGCAGAUUGGACAGACAGCUGGCUGGGAUGGUUUAGUUAGGAAUGAUCCUGUCUUGAACAGAGGGCUGGACUGGAUGACCCCAUGAGGUCCCUUCCAGCCCUUCUUUCCUAUGAUCCAUUUAAACAAUGGACUUUUAAUGAGCAAAGGAUGACAUCACUGAAACUAGAACAUUGCCUAAAUGGUAGAGUUGAUGUCACCCCAAUUUCAAAUGACAGUAAAACUCAGGAUACUUUGGAAGGGGUCCAGGAAGAGUUGUAUAAAAGACGGACAGGAAUCACAAUAGUCUGAUCAUGGUCUGAACCUGCAUGAUCACCAAGGUUGAGCAGUAUUUGGAUGAGGGUGUCUAAUUUAAGUCAAUCUCUGAUCAACACUGUCACUUCCUGCAAUGGUGAAAAGUAAAUGUUAUGGGCUUUGAGUUUAUUGCUUACCUGAAAGACAGCAUCUCCAGUGGCAAUGUCUCUACCACCUUUGAGGGGCAUUUGUUUAAACCUGAUUCAGAGGAAAUAGUGCUGUCUUUUGAGUCAGCAGAGCUGCUCUGGUGAGCAAGAAAUAGAGGCUAUCUAAAAUGGACGAAUCAUUCAUUACAAAUAGUUUGUUCAGCUUCCUAGUUUUGAACAUGAUUUGCUUCUAUUAAUUUCAUAGACACUGAAAGCUGCCGUACCCGUAAUGCAAUACCAGCAUGCUUUUGUCUCUCCAAUCCCUACCCUUGAUCCCACUUGCCUCUCCAAUUACCACCCUAAUGCUCUUCCCUUUUCAUCAAUACAUUUGUUGACUGCACUUCUUUGCUUUUUCAUCCUAAACCCAUUCCACUCCAGCUUCUUCCCCCUGCACCCCGCUAAAACUGUUCUAACUAAACAUCUCCAAAGGCCUCUCCUUCUUGAACUGGCAGUCACCUAUGGCCCAAGCUAGUGUAUCAAGGACCUUUGAACUUUGUACUGUCUAGGCCUCUGUGACUCUGUCAUCUCCUGGUUCCUCCUCAUUACCUGCAUCAACACCCUUUGAAUAUGUGCUUUGGGUGAUCUUCCCAUCCCUUCCACUUCCUGUGAGGAUACUGUAGGUCUUUGGCUUUGAUACCCUUCUUUCUCCCUUUAAUUUGUGUAAUCUCAUUUAUAAACACAAAUUCCAGUGCAGUUCCUAUGCUGAGGACUCACAGAUCUACUUCUCCGUUUCAGACCUGUUUCCUUCUGUCCAAAUUAAAAUCUUGACCUGUAUCUCUCCCAUCUCCUGUUGUACACACAUACUUUUUAACAAACUUUAAGAAGCCUUUUCCCCCCGGCAGCUGUUCAUCUACACUGUAGUAAUACAGACGGAUCAGCUUCUAUACAUAUUGGUCUUCUUGAAGGGGAAAAAGAAGUUUAUAUUUUUAGUAAUAGAAAGCUGCCAGAAUUUCCAGUGGCAGUCAAGACUAUUCUUUUGAGAGCCAGGUAGUAUAUCAAAUGAAAUACUAACAAUAAAGCUACAAAGAAAAUCCCAUAGGGUCUAGGGAUAAUACAAAUGAUGUACUGAUUCUUUCUCCUGGAUUUUGAAGUGACCAGAAACUGCUGAUGGGACUAUUUUCUGUUUUAUCUUUUCUCAGCCUGUCCACUUUCCUGUUCAGCUCAGACCUACCUCUAUUAUCAAAGCCCUGUAGCCAUGUUCAAGUGUAGGUAUGCAGCACCAGAACUCUCUUAUUCUGAGCCCUGAUGGUUACAGUGGUGUACACUCUCAUUGACUGAAUUAAUUUGGUCUUCUUUUCUGCACGGGAAUUGCCCAAGACCUGCUUUCAGUUUUUACAAACAUACUCAUUGUUUCAAAAUGUUGUGUCAAAUCGUUUUCUAUGAAUAACGCUCUUCUUUGUAGAUCGAGCAUGGGUGCUCAGUAAUUGAACUGCGUUGGCUACUUCUGGGUGCACACAAAUGUCACAAUAUUGCUUCUGUUUUUUGAUUGGAUUAAACUGCACCUGAAAUUUAGCAUGAAGAUCAGGAUUUGCCAGUUCAAAAAAAAGCUUUCCAUGUAUAUUGUUAAAUAGUCGCAUAAUCUGUGUUAUUCUUUGCAAACACUCUGGCUACUCCAUUCAGUGAGGGGGGUGGGAAUAGCUGAAGAAAUAACAGCUGAAGUAAUGUGCAGAGUGCUUAGAGUCUACUGCCACCGUUCCCACCCCGGGGUCUUUGCAGGGGCCCCCCGCUUGGCUAGCAAUGCCAUGGCACUGACCCUCAUGGCUGCAGGGAGGGCUCGUGCUUCCCGUACUGCCUCUCUACUUCCUCCACAUGCAAAUUUGCACCUCGGGGUGGGGGGAGAGGAAGUUGCCCGGAGCCUGAAAGAGACCAGUGCCCACAGCAAGAGCUGGGGGAGAGGGAGAGGGAGGGCAGGAGGGUGCGUUUAGGGGCUGAGUCCCUCCACGGCUCUGCAGUCACUCACCCUGCUGCAUGUCUCAGCCCCCACCAUGCUCCAUCUCGGGCUGCAGUCCUGGGCACUGGAGCUGGAGCUGCUGCUACUGCAGCCAGUGCCUCCCAUCGGGGGGGGGGGAGCAGACAAGAGAAUGUCGCAGGCCAGACAGAAUCACUUGGCAGGCCAGAUCCAGCCCGCAGCAUGUGUUUUGCCAACCCCUGGGUUACGCUGUAAAUGAAGUACUUCCCACCCCUGGAAUUCAUUUGAGCAAUUCUAAAUUUAAAUAAUCCGACUCCUCAAAUGAUCUGUUUCAUCUUGGAAUUCGAAUUCUCCCACUGGUCUCAGCUCUGUUUCCAGUAUUCAAUACUGUUUGAAUGGGAUAAGGUUUGAUGGGUUUAGGUUUUUUCUUGUUGUUUUCCUUUCUUUUAUCCUUGGAGUUAGGCACAAACCGAAAAUUUGGAUCCGCCGUUCUGCCAAAUUGUGAAAGCAAAGUGCUCAAUCUUACCACAGAGAGCCUUUACGCUGAUGUCAAGGACGUUAGAUCCAGCCCUAAUUUAUUUCAAAAAGCAUGCAUCACCUGUAGUGUGAAACCGGCAAGCUGGCCUGAAGAGGCACUUGUUGUUUAGAAAUACUGCAAAAAAUGGGUGAAAAUGUGCAUGGUGCCGGUUCAUGCUAUUAAGUGCAUUAGGAAAUGGCAUGCUGCAAGAUCUGGUCUUGAUGGGUUUAAACCUGAAUACUAAUGCUUGUUGUGCCUAAUAAUUCCUUUCUUUUCUUUGAAGCAGAUGUGCAGUACAGCUCUGUUCAUCUGUACUGCUGUUCCCUUGUCACCUGGGAGGAAUUUUACCAUGUGCUCUUCAACAUUUGUUUUUGAUCUACUUAAAGCAGGCAAGGAGCCAUCAUGCAGCAGGAGGGAGGUUAUGGAUGUAAGAAGCAUCUUUCUUUGUCUUACACUGGGGAUAUCAGGAUGUCUUAUAUGGCUCAGUAAGAGCCCAGGGUCCUUCUGCUUCUAUCCCACUGGAUGGCAGAUUGCCCUAAAAGAGCUUCUGGCCAUCCCCUAUGGAAGCAAGACACAAAAGUGGCCUAAAGUGAUCCCAUAAUGAAAGGAAAACGGGAUUAGUACACUGUUCUCUGAUCACUUCUUGCCAAGGAAUGGUCUGUUGGAGACUGUUCCACCCAGUGAAACCUAGUUCUUCAGGGUUCCUUCAUUGACUCAACUGGAACUAUACUGGGCCCCUCACAGUACUGUAACUGGGUGAGUACCAGCCCGGAGUGCCAACUAAAGUGGGGACACCAGUAUGGCAACCUCCCCUGAGAAGUCCUUGCUAUGCCAGGUGCAGUGGGGUCAUGGGAGCCAGGCAGGCACAGCAGUAGCAGUAGCCACCUAAGCGUGGAGAGCUGGGCAGGUAAGACUGCUUCCCCUUCACUCCUCUACCUCCAGUGGUCAGUAGGCCUGUGCAAAGCGGCUAGUAUUCACUUGGGAUGCAAACUCAGCUGAUCUGGGGGACAGUGAUUCGAUUUGGUUAUUGGAAUCACUGCCCCGAAUCGAUUCAGCUGAACCUCCGAAUUCAGCAGCAGACGAAUCUCUGAAUCACAAAGGUCCAUCCCCCUCCCAUUCUCCCAGCCCAGGCAAUGGCUGUCCUGCCAGCCCCAGCUCCCGGCACU
Molecule: long non-coding RNA, 5865 nt
Organism: Alligator mississippiensis (American alligator)
Lineage: Eukaryota; Metazoa; Chordata; Crocodylia; Alligatoridae
Exons: 6
Source: RefSeq, a predicted model, not a curated record